RNAcentral lists this ribosomal RNA (459 nucleotides) under uncultured bacterium. RNAcentral's name for it is "partial 16S ribosomal RNA". It matches the Rfam family "Bacterial small subunit ribosomal RNA", at positions 338 to 795 of the family's 1533-position model. The record is from RNAcentral.
CCUACGGGAGUCAGCAGUGAGGAAUAUUGGUCAAUGGUCGGGAGACUGAACCAGCCAAGCCGCGUGAGGGAUGAAGGUACAGAGUAUCGUAAACCUCUUUUGUCAGGGAACAAAGGCGGGGACGUGUCCCCGGAUGAGUGUACCUGAAGAAAAAGCAUCGGCUAACUCCGUGCCAGCAGCCGCGGUAAUACGGAGGAUGCGAGCGUUAUCCGGAUUUAUUGGGUUUAAAGGGUGCGCAGGCGGAUUUUUAAGUCAGCGGUCAAAUCGUGGGACUCAACCCCAUCCAGCCGUUGAAACUGGGGAUCUAGAGUGUGCGAGAGGUAUGCGGAAUUCGUGGUGUAGCGGUGAAAUGCUUAGAUAUCACGAAGAACUCCGAUUGCGAAGGCAGCUCACUGGACUGCAACUGACACUGAGGCUCGAAAGUGUGGGUAUCAAACAGGAUUAGAUACCCUUGUAGUC